AUACGGAGGGGGCUAGCGUUAUUCGGAAUUACUGGGCGUAAAGAGUUCGUAGGCGGACUGGAAAGUUAGAGGUGAAAGCCCAGGGCUCAACCCUGGAACGGCCUUUAAAACUUCCAGUCUAGAGACAGAUAGAGGUAAGGGGAAUACUUAGUGUAGAGGUGAAAUUCGUAGAUAUUAAGUGGAACACCAGUGGCGAAGGCGCCUUACUGGAUCUGUUCUGACGCUGAGGAACGAAAGCGUGGGGAGCGAACGGGAUUAGAUACCCCAGUAGUCC
Molecule: ribosomal RNA, 274 nt
Filed under: uncultured bacterium
Lineage: Bacteria
Description: partial 16S ribosomal RNA
Rfam family: Bacterial small subunit ribosomal RNA
Source: RNAcentral